Molecule: long non-coding RNA, 831 nt
Organism: Malaya genurostris
Lineage: Eukaryota; Metazoa; Arthropoda; Insecta; Diptera; Culicidae
Exons: 3
Source: RefSeq, a predicted model, not a curated record
GUCAAACAGACCCCAAACGAAUCGGUUGCUCGUAUUCGUGAAGUUCUCACCACUAAUUAACAAUAGAUUCCUAAAUCAAAUGGGACACCAAUUCCGUCGACCUCAAGGUACGUCUAACUGAAGACUAGAAAGGCCGCUCCGGAAUGUUUGAAUGAAGAAUGCACGGUCAGCUGUGUUUUGCUUUACCCUUCUACUCUUUACUACUAUGUCAUAAAGCCUUCCUUCCCACCUUACUGCUGUUCUACACCCGUUGGUUGAAGGCUACUGAAGAUGGUGCAAAAGAAAAAAAAGUACGGAUCCUCUUCAUAUGGAUGAGCUAUGAGUUCCACGUUUGGUUUGACUGGCAUUGGUUUUCAUAUGACUUUUUUCGGAAAGAAAAAUCAAAGUUUACACACUUAGAAAAUUUGGCAGAAUUCGGUAAUUUUUUACCGAGUUUUCAACACGUUCGGUGAUCAGUUCGGUAAUUGAAUUGAUAACCAAUCGUUUGGUAAUUGCUGAACUGUCAAACAACUACCGUAAACUGUAAACCAGAUGGUCCAACUGAUUAUUUCAAAAAACAACACCAAUUUACAAAAAUGAAUAAAGAAAACUCCAACCUGUUGUGGCUAUGGUUUUAUUCCAAAAAAACAGGGUUAAAUGUUCCGGCUGGCCGAAAUUAUAAGCGCCUUCCAAAAACACUGCACAAUCCGUCGAGUUCACCAGAAAUUACCCUCGAACGAUUUGUGUAGACAGCAAGUGGACAAGUGAUACACAAUUAUUUUCUGCCUAUAAGUAAACAAAAAGCUUUUAGUGGUUCUAAUGUUUUAAAAACUUUAGCACCUGUACCUCAAU